Molecule: ribosomal RNA, 550 nt
Filed under: uncultured bacterium
Lineage: Bacteria
Description: bacterial SSU rRNA
Rfam family: Bacterial small subunit ribosomal RNA
Source: RNAcentral
UAGGGAAUCUUCCGCAAUGGACGCAAGUCUGACGGAGCAACGCCGCGUGAGUGAAGAAGGUUUUCGGAUCGUAAAACUCUGUUGUUAGAGAAGAACAAGUGCUAGAGUAACUGUUAGCGCCUUGACGGUAUCUAACCAGAAAGCCACGGCUAACUACGUGCCAGCAGCCGCGGUAAUACGUAGGUGGCAAGCGUUGUCCGGAUUUAUUGGGCGUAAAGCGAGCGCAGGCGGUUCCUUAAGUCUGAUGUGAAAGCCCCCGGCUCAACCGGGGAGGGUCAUUGGAAACUGGGGAACUUGAGUGCAGAAGAGGAGAGUGGAAUUCCAUGUGUAGCGGUGAAAUGCGUAGAUAUAUGGAGGAACACCAGUGGCGAAGGCGACUCUCUGGUCUGUAACUGACGCUGAGGCUCGAAAGCGUGGGUAGCAAACAGGAUUAGAUACCCUGGUAGUCCACGCCGUAAACGAUGAGUGCUAAGUGUUGGAGGGUUUCCGCCCUUCAGUGCUGNAGUUAACGCAUUAAGCACUCCGCCUGGGGAGUACGACCGCAAGGUUG